CCUGAGCUGAAGUCGAGUGUGUUCCUGACUGAGCCACCCAGAAAAUAUUGACUGAGCAAUGACCAUCCAUCUCUAAUUCUGAAGUACCAGGUGAAGAAGAGAAAGGGAUGAAUGGGAAAUCAAGAGUCCUGGAAUGAAGGUUUUCUCCUUCCAAAGCCUCAACUAGUUAUUAAUAUGAAUACAUGAAAUAAGGUCUCUAAAAGCUUAUAUAAAACAUAAUUUGCAAAGUCACUAUGUUGUACACCAGAAAGUAAUGUAACGUUGUGUGUCAACUAUACUCCAAUAAAGAAUAAUUUGGGUACAAGCAAA
Long non-coding RNA from Suricata suricatta (meerkat), 309 nucleotides. RefSeq lists it as uncharacterized. The record is from RefSeq and is a predicted model, not a curated record. Lineage: Eukaryota; Metazoa; Chordata; Mammalia; Carnivora; Herpestidae. The transcript is spliced from 2 exons.